This 208-nucleotide ribosomal RNA is filed under the name uncultured bacterium. RNAcentral's name for it is "partial 16S ribosomal RNA". It matches the Rfam family "Bacterial small subunit ribosomal RNA", at positions 568 to 774 of the family's 1533-position model. The record is from RNAcentral.
CGCGUAGGCGGUAUAGUAAGUCGGAUGUUAAAGACCCACGGCUCACCCGGGGGAAUGCGUCCGAUACUGCUAUGCUUGAGUGCAGGAGAGGAAAGUGGAAUUCCUGGUGUAGCGGUGAAAUGCGUAGAUAUCAGGAGGAACACCGGUGGCGAAGGCGGCUUUCUGGCCUGCUACUGACGCUGAGGCGCGAAAGCGUGGGGAGCGAACG